This 425-nucleotide ribosomal RNA is filed under the name uncultured prokaryote. RNAcentral describes it as "bacterial SSU rRNA". It matches the Rfam family "Bacterial small subunit ribosomal RNA", at positions 355 to 796 of the family's 1533-position model. The record is from RNAcentral.
UGGGGAAUCUUGCGCAAUGGGCGAAAGCCUGACGCAGCAACGCCGCGUGGGGGAUGACGGCUUUCGGGUUGUAAACCCCUUUCAGCAGGGACGAAAAUGACGGUACCUGCAGAAGAAGCCCCGGCCAACUACGUGCCAGCAGCCGCGGUAAGACGUAGGGACCGAGCGUUGUCCGGAAUUAUUGGGCGUAAAGAGCUCGUAGGCGGUUGCGUAAGUCGGAUGUGAAAGCUCAGGGCUCAACCCUGAGACGCCAUCCGAUACUGCGCUGACUUGAAUCCAGUAGGGGAGUGUGGAAUUCCUGGUGUAGCGGUGAAAUGCACAGAUAUCAGGAGGAACACCUAUGGCGAAGGCAGCACUCUGGGCUGGUAUUGACGCUGAGGAGCGAAAGCAUGGGUAGCAAACAGGAUUAGAUACCCGCGUAGUCC